GAUGAACGCUGGCGGUCUGCUUAACACACGCAAGUCGAACGGAAUCCUUCGGGAUUUAGUGGCGGACGGGUGAGUAACGCGUGAGAAUCUGCCUUCAGGUUCGGGACAACAGCUGGAAACGGCUGCUAAUACCGGAUGUGCCGAGAGGUGAAAGCUUUAGUGCCUGAAGAUGAGCUCGCGUCUGAUUAGCUAGUAGGAGUGGUAAUGGCACCCCUAGGCGACGAUCAGUAGCUGGUCUGAGAGGAUGAUCAGCCACACUGGGACUGAGACACGGCCCAGACUCCUACGGGAGGCAGCAGUGGGGGAUUUUCCGCAAUGGGCGCAAGCCUGACGGAGCAAGACCGCGUGAGGGAAGAAGGUCUGUGGAUUGUAAACCUCUUUUGAUGGGGAAGAAGACAGUGACGGUACCCAUCGAAUCAGCCUCGGCUAACUCCGUGCCAGCCGCCGCAGUAA
This 453-nucleotide ribosomal RNA is filed under the name uncultured bacterium. RNAcentral's name for it is "partial 16S ribosomal RNA". It matches the Rfam family "Bacterial small subunit ribosomal RNA", at positions 28 to 523 of the family's 1533-position model. The record is from RNAcentral.